UGAGCAGCUGACCCCUCGGGGAGGGACAGACUUUCCCAGCCACCUUCCAGGACCAGGAAUCUGCCUGGGCCUGGACCUGAGCCCCAGUUGGUGGGACACUGGGCGCUUUUGCCGCCCCACAUGGGAGCCGCUGGCCCGGCCCACUGCCCCUUCCUCCCUGGCCGCCCUGCGAGACACACCCUGCCACACAGGGCGUCCCUCAGCCCCGCUGGGCACACUGACCACCCCCUCCCUGUCCAGAGCUGGACCUGGACGAGACCUGUGCUGAGGCCCAGGACGGGGAGCUGGACGGACUCUGGACGACCAUCACCAUCUUCAUCACCCUCUUCCUGCUCAGCGUGUGCUACAGCGCCACCGUCACACUCUUCAAGGUGAAGUGGAUCUUCUCCUCGGUGGUGGAGCUCAAGCAGACAAUCGCCCCUGACUACAGGAACAUGAUUAUGCAGGGCUCCUAGGACCGCCUCCUGCAUGGACCAGGGCUUCCCAGAGCCCUGUGGGAUGCUGCCCAUCGAGUCAAGCAGCCCCACAGCCCGGCCACACCUGUCCCUCGUCCUCCCUGCCCCCUGAACCUGCGGCCUCUUGAAGCUUCGCUCUGGAACGUUCUGCCCGUGGAGGAGCACAUGAACAGCAGGCUCUACCACGGCCCCAGCACCAUGGACAGGACAACCCUCCUCAGCACCCAGCAGGACCCCUGUGGUGGCAGCCGAGGCCCGUCCCUCCCUGGGUCACCUCUGUCCUCGGGGCUGCAGGGAGUCACCUAUGGGGUGGACGUCCUAAGUGCAGAUGACAAGCCUGGAGACAACGUCACCCGUGCCAGCCGGACAUGGGAGUUUUCUGAGAGCAGGCCUCACGUCAGAGCCUUGCGUGGGAUGUCCACCACCAGGACGGGAGGCACGCCUCCCGGGGCCCGGACCGGUUCAGAGGCGCUGCCUGGGUCAGGCUGCGGCCUGGGCCCCAACUGUGCCCCGCUAGGCUCCAUCCUACCCUGACACCCGGCCCGUCUCGAGUCUGAAAUGGGGCGUCCCGUCGGAUGGGGCUCGGUGCGCUGCCCUCCUCUCGCCCCGCGGGCUUGCCAUGGCCGUGAGGCAGCAGUCAGCUGACUCCGGCCACCCCGCCUCUGGGGACAGCCCACUGCCCCUCCCCCAGCUCCAGGCUCCACUCGUGACACACACAGGAAAGGGCCCCGGGCGCACGGCCGCUGUGGGGCUCGGGCCGGGCCCUUCCGCCAGGUGGAAGGGCCGAGGUCCGGUGAGGAGGACAGGCAUCUGCCAGGUGGGGGCGGCUCCAGGACGGGGCCUGGGAGCAGGUGCUCCUCCCGCAGCCAUCACGGCUCCAUCCAAGGCAGCUCUUUGGGAUGCGGCACACACACAGGUCACACGGGGUUUGGACCCAGGAGGCCUGUUUCUCCCUCCCUAAGCUUCAUACCUUGGGACCCACUUUCUCCUCGGAAUGCACUAGCCGGCCCCUCCAGCUCCUGCUGGAACAAUGGUGAUUUAGGGACAAGGUGCACUGGCCCCUGCUCCUAGGGGAAGGCUUCUUGUUUCUUGUCAUGAACUGUGAUGGUCACUGUAAAGGUUUCCUUUGUCCAUCUGAGGAUAGUCUCUCUCAUCUAAAGAUGGCUGAGACCCUCAUGGGAAAUGCUGUUCAAUGUUAGGAAGUUUAUUGUCUUCAUCUGCUGGUCUGAGCCUACACGUGUGAUGGACUGUCCUCAACUUUUUCUAUGGUUGGGUUGCUGUGUUUGCACUUCUGGGAAUCACACUGGGGGCCUAUGGUGCUAGGCAGACAUCAUCCAACUAAGCUGGAUUCCCAGACUUUUGGAUGCUAAACCAGCCUUAGUGAAGGAGUUCAGUUCUACAAAUAGUAGAGCUAGCAGGGUACUCGUAGCCUGGUAACGUAUUUGGAAAGACAGACUGAUUCUGAGAAGCUGGUUCCCACGGUUGCAGUGGCAACAAGGUCACCAAGCUGGCCAGCUUGACCCGCGGACGGCACACCACGCCCACAGAAGGAAAAUGAGGCCCAAGGCCCAAUUACCUUUGCAUAUUGUUUGAUUCAACUUGUCAGUGUCUUCUGGACAUGAAGCUUUACAGAGUCAACACUGGCAGCAGCUAAUCUUUGAAAAGGAGUCUAGAAGUUCUCGUUCUCAUCUGUGCACCCCUCCUUCCUUUCUGCCUGUGGCGAUGGACAGGACUUGCACAGACCUAGAGUUCUCCUGGUGGCUUCCUCCACCUGCACCUGCAGGCCGCACCUGGCCCCCAGACACCGUUUGGCCCCGCCAGUCUCCACGUCUCCUUUGGUCACACAGAUCAUCCUGUUAUUGGCCUUUUCUAGCACGCACACGUGAGAGAAAACCGAGUGCUGGUCUUUCUCAGUCUGGCUUAUUUCUCCUAACGAGUCGCACUCCAGGGGCCGCCAUUUUCAGCAGAAGACACAAUGGCACCCACCGGUGAUGGCCACGCCUCACGCCACUGCACGCACAUGCCUGCCUCCUCGCCCGUCCUCAGCGGGCAGCUGGUCGGGGCUGCGUCUGACAGGCCCUGGCCGCCUUCUGCGGGUGUCCAGCCUCCCCGCUCACCCCGUGUGAGUGGGCGGCCAGUGGUGUCUGGGCCUGGGAGGACGGCCAUCCUCCAGUGACGGUGGCUGCAAUCCUGGGAGUGCUGCCACUAGAACACUCCUGGGCAGGCCUCUCCACACCGCCUGACGUGGAUUUGGGGCGACACCGCCUGUCGUACUAGGGAGCUGUGAGAGGAAUUCUAGCCUUCACUGUGGGGAAAGGUCAUACUGAUUUCUGCAAAAGCUGAGCUGGUGUCCAUUGCCUCUGGCAGUGAAUAAAGGUGCCAUUUCCUCACCGCCUA
This is a long non-coding RNA of Dipodomys spectabilis (banner-tailed kangaroo rat), 2852 nucleotides long. RefSeq lists it as uncharacterized. The transcript has 2 exons. NCBI's taxonomy places the organism in Eukaryota, Metazoa, Chordata, Mammalia, Rodentia, Heteromyidae. The record is from RefSeq and is a predicted model, not a curated record.